Molecule: ribosomal RNA, 545 nt
Filed under: Sigapatella novaezelandiae
Lineage: Eukaryota; Metazoa; Mollusca; Gastropoda; Littorinimorpha; Calyptraeidae
Description: partial 12S ribosomal RNA
Source: RNAcentral
CAAUGGAUUAAAUUAUACGUUAUUUGGUUAAAAGGUAGUUAGAUAGUAAUAUAUUUGUUUGUUGAAGUUAUGUAUAUGAGUAAAAUUUGAGUAUGUAAAUAAAUAUCAAAACAAACUAAUGUUAUUGAAUCUACGACAUCCUAGAGGGAAACUGGGAUUAGAUACCCCAUUAUUCUUGGAUAUAAAUUAAUUAAAUUUACCAGAGUACUACGAAUUAAUGAUUUAAAACUCAAAGGGCUUGGCGGUGUUUUAGACCCCUCAGGGGAACCUGUCUCGUGAUCGAUAGUCCGCGUUAAACCUAACUCUUUUUUGUAUUCAGCUUGUAUACCGUCGUCAUCAGGUAACUUUUAAGAAAUAAAGAGUUAGCAGUUAAGUAGAUUAAACUAGUAUGUCAGAUCAAGGUGCAGCUUAUAAGAGAGUGAAGAUGGGUUACAAUUAUAAAUUUAUAUGAUGAAUUAAAGGUUGAAAAACUGCUAUGAAAUAGGACUUGAAAGUAAAUUGAAUUAUAUAAAUAAAUUGAAUUUGGCUCUGAAACGUGCACAUAU